Molecule: ribosomal RNA, 246 nt
Filed under: uncultured bacterium
Lineage: Bacteria
Description: partial 16S ribosomal RNA
Rfam family: Bacterial small subunit ribosomal RNA
Source: RNAcentral
GGAGUAUUGCACAAUGGGCGCAAGCCUGAUGCAGCGACGCCGCGUGCGGGAUGACGGCCUUAGGGUUGUAAACCGCUUUCAGCAGGGACGAAAUUGACGGUACCUGCAGAAGAAGCCCCGGCCAACUACGUGCCAGCAGCCGCGGUAAUACGUAGGGGGCAAGCGUUGUCCGGAUUUAUUGGGCGUAAAGAGCUCGUAGGCGGUCUGGUAAGUCGGAUGUGAAAUCUCCACGCUUAACGUGGAGGG